This 1883-nucleotide long non-coding RNA is filed under the name Sus scrofa (pig). RNAcentral describes it as "lncRNA (ENSSSCG00045016967.1)". Lineage: Eukaryota; Metazoa; Chordata; Mammalia; Artiodactyla; Suidae. The record is from RNAcentral.
CACAGGUGAGAGAGUUUGAGUGCACAGGUGUGCGUGCGUGUGAGCGUGCGUGCGUGCGUGCGAGAAGGUCAGAGUGCGCCGCGUGUCCGUGAGUGAAAGUGCGCGUUUUUGUGUUCAGAUGGAGGACGCCCCCAGCUCCCAGAAGAGCGGGCGACUUUCUUCCUCUCACGACUUGGGGAGAGGAGGAGGAGGACCGUUUCCGACGUGGACAGGUUUCGACGUCUUAGGGGUCCAGGUAAAGGCGAUUCAAUUAUGGGAUAUGAGGCUGGUCAGGAAGCAUGAGAGCCUGCACCAUCCUGCAGGCCACAGAGACCUUCGGUGGACAGUUCUGAAUGGGAUAAAGCCUGCAGGCCAGUACUCCCAUGAGAGCUCUUCUCCCACAGGCUGACAUCAGGCUGCCACAGCCACCAGAUCCCCAAGUGGCUUCCUGGAUGAGAGAGAGUUGGAGACCAGGUGGGCUGCCCAGAGGCCAGAGCUGGACUUGAACUGAGGGCCUGCGUGGCCUGAACAAGCGGUGACCAGGACUAUAAUCCAGGGCACCCAUGGAGGCUUUCAAGGUUGGCCAGAUUCUCUGCAAACUCAGAUCCAGUCCUGGGCUGGGCCAGUUCUUGAGUGUGAACUCCUGAGAUCCAGCCUAGCACUGUUCUGGGAGUAGCAGCAGUUGUCACCUUCUCCAAAUCCACUGGCCUUUUAAAAAAUAGUUGGAAUUAAGUGAAUCGACUGACAAGGGAUUAAUCUCCAAAAUUUAUAAACACCUUCUGCAGCUCCAUACCAAAAAAACAAACAACCCCAUCCAAAAAUUGGCAGAAGAUCUAAACAGACAGUUCUCCAAAGAAGACAUACAGAUGGCUGAGAAACACAUGAAAAGAUGUUCAACAUCACUCAUUAUUAGAGAAAUUCAAAUCAAAACCUCUAUGAGGUACCACCUUAUACCAGCCAGAAUGGCCAUCAUCCAAAAGUCUACAAACAAGAAGUGCUGGAGAGGGUGUGGAGAAAAAGGAACCCUAUGACACUGUUGGUGGGAUUGUAAAUUGGUGAAACCACUUUGGAAAGCAGUACGGAGAUUCCUCAGAAAACUAAACAUAGAACUACCAUUUGAUCCAGCAAGCCCACUCCUGGGCAUCUACCCAGAGAAAACCACGACUCGAAAAGACACAUGUACUCCGAUGUUCAUUGACGCACUCUUUGCAAUAGCCAAGACAUGGAAACAACCUAAAUGUCCAUCGACAGAGGAGUGGAUCCAGAAGAUGUGGCACAUAUACACAAUGGAAUAUUACUCAGCCGUUAAAAAGAACGAAAUACCAGCAUUUUUUGCAAGAUGGAUGGACCUAGAAACUAUAAUGCUAAGUGAAGUCAGCCAUACAAUGAGACACCAACAUCAAAUGCUUUCGGUGACAUGUGGAAUCUGAAAAAAGGACAGACGGAACUUCUUUGCAGAGCAGAUGCUGACUCACAGACAUUGAAAAACUUAUGGUCUCCGGAGGAGACAGUUUGGGGGGUGGGGGGAUGUGCUUAAGCUGUGGGAUUGAAAUCCCAUGAAAUCAAAUUGUUAUGAUCAUUAUACAACUACAGAUGUGAUAAAUUCAUUUGAGUAAUAGAAAAAUUUUUUUAAAAAGUUGGAAUUGUCUCCCCAGUUAAUUCCCUUGGUUUGCUUUUGUGGGCUUCCCCCUGCCUCAUUUAAAGUUUUUAAACUAUAGAAAAGUACAGACUAUAGCAGAUACCAGUGUCAAAAUUUAUAAACAUUGAGACGUGGUCAUGUUUACUUCAGAAAUUUUAAAUUCAUGUAAAAGCAAAAAUAUUGCAGAAUACCAUUCCUCCCACCUCAUGGUACUUUCCAUAUGUUUGAGCUGUAUAGACACACCCGUGCAAACAAGGUCCAUGAG